AGGGCCUGUCCAGUUUGUAUAAAACUGCUGGCAGCAAGAGGAGGCUGGACGUUUGCUCAAGGAUCCUGACAAUUUGCUUUUAAAGGGACAUAAAAUUCAAGCAAGAAAAUGUCUCGACUUGAGUUAGCUUUAUAUAUAAUACUUGUAUCCUACACAUCAGAGGUUCGUUCCCAGGUGACACUGGAAGAAUCGGGUGGGGAUGCGGUGAUGCCUGGGGCCAGACUACGGCUCACUUGUAAGACCGCCGGGUUUGAAGUUGGACCGGGAAGUGGUAUUGGUUUGAACUGGGUCCGGCAGCAGCCCGGGAAGGGGCUUGAGUGGGUCGCGUAUCAUUAUACAAACCCCGAUGGUUCUCACGAUGUAUACUACGCCCCCUCGGUGAAGGGCCGGUUCACCAUUUCCAGGGACGUUCCCCAAAGGCUCCUGUACCUGGACAUGACGGACCUGAAGCCUGAGGACAGCGCCUUGUAUUACUGUGCGAGACACACAGCGAUCAAAGACAGCGGGGUCUCGUACAGUAACCUCUCUGUCCCUGCUGGGCCCAAGAGCAGAUUGUAGCUAUGCCAGAUACACCUGCAUUGCCAAUGCCCAUUAAACUCGAUUAACUAUGUAAUGGCAACCAACGGAUUCCUCCAGAUUUCCCAUGGCUCCCAGUUAAAUCGGGGACAAAUCUCAUCUGAAUCAGGGACAAAUCCAGAAAUCAUAAGGGAACCACAGGCAUUUUCAAAAUAUUAAUACUAUUAACUAGAGAUGUUGAUAGAAUAAGAAAAUGUGAACUAAAAUACAUUUUCUGGAGUAAAAAAAAUUGCCCAACUCAAACCAAUUUUAUUAUUACGUGUAAUUCACCAGCUUUUCUCCAAAAGUCACAGUUUUUUUUUGGGGAGGGGGGGGGGGUAGAAGAACAGAUACAAAGGCUGACUAUAAAUCAGGGUCCUGAAACAUCAGGGAGACUAGAUGUACGAGAUUUCCUCAGUUCACUGAGUCUGCAGUUUUAGAAGUGAAAACUGAAGUGAAGUCCCCCAAACAUUUGGCAAUUAAGAACAUAACGCCAUUAGAAAUGUUGCUUAGUUGCCGAGUUUUACUUUUUAUUUAAGUAGGCAUCCUUAACACUUACUGGUUUUCUUUUAUUGUUACAAAACUGUAGGAGAUUCCUUUCAUACUUCUCUACUG
Protopterus annectens (West African lungfish) is the source of this 1170-nucleotide non-coding RNA. NCBI's taxonomy places the organism in Eukaryota, Metazoa, Chordata, Ceratodontiformes, Protopteridae. The record is from the annotation of a RefSeq genome assembly.